GAUGAACGCUGGCGGCGUGCCUAAUACAUGCAAGUCGAGCGAACAGACGAGGAGCUUGCUCCUCUGACGUUAGCGGCGGACGGGUGAGUAACACGUGGAUAACCUACCUAUAAGACUGGGAUAACUUCGGGAAACCGGAGCUAAUACCGGAUAAUAUAUUGAACCGCAUGGUUCAAUAGUGAAAGACGGUUUUGCUGUCACUUAUAGAUGGACCCGCGCCGCAUUAGCUAGUUGGUAAGGUAACGGCUUACCAAGGCAACGAUGCGUAGCCGACCUGAGAGGGUGAUCGGCCACACUGGAACUGAGACACGGUCCAGACUCCUGCGGGAGGCAGCAGUAGGGAAUCUUCCGCAAUGGGCGAAAGCGUGACGGAGCAACGCCGCGUGAGUGAUGAAGGUCUUCGGAUCGUAAAACUCUGUUAUUAGGGAAGAACAAAUGUGUAAGUAACUAUGCACGUCUUGACGGUACCUAAUCAGAAAGCCACGGCUAACUACGUG
This 497-nucleotide ribosomal RNA is filed under the name uncultured bacterium. RNAcentral's name for it is "partial 16S ribosomal RNA". It matches the Rfam family "Bacterial small subunit ribosomal RNA", at positions 28 to 507 of the family's 1533-position model. The record is from RNAcentral.